GGGAUUAUGGUGAAGCGGUUAUCACAGCGCUCUGUGGCAGCGCGGUCACGGGUUCGAUUCCCGUUAAUCCCC
Molecule: transfer RNA, 72 nt
Filed under: Minisyncoccota bacterium
Lineage: Bacteria; Bacillati; Minisyncoccota
Description: tRNA-His
Rfam family: tRNA
About the family: Transfer RNA (tRNA) molecules are approximately 80 nucleotides in length. Their secondary structure includes four short double-helical elements and three loops (D, anti-codon, and T loops). Further hydrogen bonds mediate the characteristic L-shaped molecular structure. tRNAs have two regions of fundamental functional importance: the anti-codon, which is responsible for specific mRNA codon recognition, and the 3' end, to which the tRNAs corresponding amino acid is attached (by aminoacyl-tRNA synthetases). tRNAs cope with the degeneracy of the genetic code in two manners: having more than one tRNA (with a specific anti-codon) for a particular amino acid; and 'wobble' base-pairing, i.e. permitting non-standard base-pairing at the 3rd anti-codon position.
Source: RNAcentral